Molecule: ribosomal RNA, 775 nt
Filed under: uncultured Neocallimastigales
Lineage: Eukaryota; Fungi; Neocallimastigomycota; Neocallimastigomycetes; Neocallimastigales
Description: partial large subunit ribosomal RNA
Rfam family: Eukaryotic large subunit ribosomal RNA
Source: RNAcentral
AGAGAGAGACAUGCGCGCAUAUCAAUAAGCGGAGGAAAAGAAACUAACAAGGAUUCCCCUAGUAACGGCGAGUGAAGCGGGAAGAGCUCAAAUUUGAAAUCUUAAAGGGUUUCCCUUUACGAAUUGUAGUUUAAAGAAGUGUUUUCUGUUGAGGUUUUGGUAAAAGUUCUUUGGAAUAGGACAUCAUAGAGGGUGAGAAUCCCGUAUUUGACCUUUACUUUCAACUUUGUGAUACACUUUCAAAGAGUCGGAUUGUUUGGGAAUGCAGUCCAAAAUGGGUGGUAAAUUUCAUCUAAAGCUAAAUAUUGGCGAGAGACCGAUAGCGAACAAGUACCGUGAGGGAAAGAUGAAAAGAACUUUGAAAAGAGAGUUAAACAGUACGUGAAAUUGUCAAAAGGGAAGCGUUUGACACCAGUGUUGUUUUUCUGAAAAUCAAUUAAAGAACUGUUUGAUGCUAAGUUGUUUAGACUUUAUCAGCUAACUGUUUAGUUUUGAGCUUUUCUUUAAUGCACUUUUCAGUUAACAAGUCAACAUCAAUUUCUUUUGCUGUAAAAAAGCUUGAGGAAGGUGGCUUGAGAUUCGUCUUAAGUGUUUAUAGCCUCUUGCCUAUGCAGUCGGAGAGAUUGAGGUCUGCAGCGUAGAUCCUUCGGGGCUAAAUGCAUUUGUGCUAAGUUAUAGCAUUUUAUAGACAACUUGUUGACUAUGAUUUGUCUUGUAGCUUACUCGCUUAUGUUAUUUUACCUACGCUUAGGAUGUUGACGCAUGAGAUAUACGC